RNAcentral lists this ribosomal RNA (273 nucleotides) under uncultured bacterium. RNAcentral describes it as "partial 16S ribosomal RNA". It matches the Rfam family "Bacterial small subunit ribosomal RNA", at positions 524 to 796 of the family's 1533-position model. The record is from RNAcentral.
UACAGGGGGUGCGAGCGUUAAUCGGAAUUACUGGGCGUAAAGAGUACGUAGGCGGUUGCUUAAGUCAGAUGUGAAAGCCCCGGGCUCAACCUGGGAACUGCAUUUGAAACUGAGUGACUAGAGUUUAAGAGAGGGGAGUAGAAUUCCGGGUGUAGCGGUGAAAUGCGUAGAGAUCCGGAGGAAUACCAGUGGCGAAGGCGGCUCCCUGGCUUAAAACUGACGCUGAGGUACGAAAGCGUGGGUAGCAAACAGGAUUAGAAACCCCGGUAGUCC